AGGUGAUAAUUAUUCACUCGUAGGGUUACAUUAUGCUGUUAGGUUUGGAUUGACACCGCAUAUGAUGGACAUCCUGAAAGUAAUUGCAUAUUGGUCCUAGGAUGAAGCUCGCGGUAGGCUCUGCAGCUGAUAUAUCCCACACUUAUCAGAUGUCAAGCACAUAGCCUUAGCUGCCUCUGUGAUUACAUUAAAUGUGGCCCUGUGAACAAAGUAUUUUCUAAUUGAUAUAACUGGCUUCUUUACAUUCUGUACGAUUUCGAAGGCCGCCCUUUAGAGAAAUAUUUCUACGUUUGGUCAGUGCAGGUAAGAAGUGAAUCAGCCUUGCACCACUGCUGAGACUUGACGGGUCAAAACAAAGUGGUCUGGCGUUGUAUCACAAGAUCAUCUGGUUGCCUUGCAGUGAAAGAUAGAGGGCGAAUACCGUUCAGCAGUCGAUGUCUAAGCUCAGCUUUGUAAAUGACCGCCUUGGGGAGCUUCGUUUCUGCCGAUUCCAUUUAUGGCAUCUUCCUUGGGUGACGUGUAAUUACCUUUGCAUUAUGUUAUUAGGGAAAUGAGAUUUUCUGUAAAAAUAUUUGCGAAUAAGUAAUCACAAACACCUGUCUGAAAAUGUAUCGAAAGGAAUUAAAAAAAUAGAAUAACUGAAGAA
Leptinotarsa decemlineata (Colorado potato beetle) is the source of this 646-nucleotide long non-coding RNA. The record is from RefSeq and is a predicted model, not a curated record. Lineage: Eukaryota; Metazoa; Arthropoda; Insecta; Coleoptera; Chrysomelidae.